AAUUUUUGGUAAGCAUUAUUAUGUUAUAAUGAACAUACCUUGUUCAUCAAAUGAUAUGACCAAAGUGAAAAGACUCAAAGCAUCUUCAUAAUUUAAAAGAAUAUGUUCAUAGCAAUUGAAACUGAUAAGAUAAUCAAAGCCUGGAAAUAUGAAAUGAAUUAAUGAUUUGUCAUGAACCACGAUGUGAAAAGCACGGAAGUCUGAAGAGACAGGGAGAGAGUGCUGAGUAAAAGCCAUGCAGAGGAUUUCACACAGAAGAGACCACGCUUCGAGAAAGAACACAGAUUGGAGCAUAGCCUCCUCAGUUCAGAGGACUAUAGAUUAAAACCAGAAGACCUAUUUUUCAUACUUUCCAUGUUGACCGAAAUUAAGAAGUCAGAGACUAUGAAAACCCAUAGAAUUCUGGGGCAGUUUAAACUGUUUCAAACACAUUAAUUCCGUCAAUUAUGUAGCAAAUGGAAAUCACAUGUGGCCUACAAAGCCUUGUACACAGGGGGCAAAUGCAUCCCCUUGUGCAUUAGGUUAUAUAAGCAAUAUCCCUACUAAAGUAAAAUAUUGGAAAUGAUUCAACUGUCCAUUGACAGUGAAAUAGAUAAAUUGUAGUCUAUCCACAAAAUGGAAUAACAUACCACAGAGGAAGUGAGGGAACUAUAGUCACAUGAGUUAAAAUGGAGUUAUCUGGGAGAAAAAUGAGUAGAAAUAGGUACAGUCACAGAAGAAAAUACACAGUCUGAUUUUUUUGUAUAACAUUUUUUAAGCAGUUGCAUCUAUUGGUUAUCAUGAGUUAGAAACUUCAGAGCAAAGCAUGAAAAUACCACAAAGUUCAAGACACUUCAAUGAGAAGAGGAUGCUUCCAUGGUAUUUGUAUAUUCUUUACUCUGCCUGGAACUGGUUUCAUGGAUAUUUCUUCUGCAAACAAUUAUAAAAAUCUCGUAUCCACAUAUGUUAUACAGUCUCUCUUUUGUGUCAGGCUUCUUGCUCAGUGGGGAGCCUGCCUCUCCCUCUCCCUCCCUCUUUGUUCCCCUCGCCCCCCACCCCCCCUCUCCUGCUCUCUCUCAAAUCAAGUCUUUAAAAAAAAUUGGAGAAAAAAAAAAGAUGGGUAAGCAAAAGCCUGAAAAGUCUUCGUGAUUUCAAGGCAUAACAAUGAUAAAAACUAUGAUGAAGUCAUGCUCCAGAAUAGAAAAUAAGCAAAUGGAAAUGUUGCAUUAUUGUCACUGGGGGUCUUUUAAGAAAUAAGAGGGCCUUAGCCGCGGCAGCAGGAACAGAAGCCAUGUCACUGUGACAACAGUCUCCAUCAAGUCAAGACACAACAUCUUGUGACACUGCCUGGAGGAUGGGGGCAGAUUCUGCAGUAAGUAAUAAUUUGCUAUAUUUUUUGGUAAUGUUAAACUGUGCUGUUUCCCUGUUUCCAAGUCUUGGAUAGUUUCAUUUGGGCUGCAUAGAAAAUAAAGGUUUGAACUUGUCAAGGUGAAGAUUACAGUUAUAAAAAAUUAGAUGACAGGGUUUAGAAGGUGGUUGAAAUAGGGUUAAGUAGAGAGAUGUGAUGUCCUCACACAACAAGGAGUUCGAAAACUUAAAAAACAGCAAUAUUAUGUUAUAUAGCUUUGUAUUUCUUAAGGUUUGUUUACCCCCAAAUUCAUAUUUCGAGGUCCUAACCCCUAAAGGGAUGGUAAUUUGGAGGUGGGGCAUUAGAAUGCAAUUAUAGUUGAUGAGGAAAUGAGGGUAGAGUUCUCAAAAUGGAAAUAGUGUCUUAUAAUAGAGACAGCAGAGAGGUGGUUUACACACUCUUCCUCUCUUGCUCACACAUGGGCACGCACACUCUCUCUCUCUCCCUCCGUCUCUCUCUCUCUCUUUACCAGGUAAGGACACACUGAAAAGGACUUCUGUUUGCGAGCCAGGAAGAGGGCUCUAACCAGAACCUGAACCGGUCACACCUUUUCUUGGACUUCCCAGCCUCCACAACUCCUGUAAAUGGAUGAGAUCUGUCGCUGGUAAAUCAAAACAGCACUGAACCCAUAAUAUUUGGAUAAAGAGUUAAGCACUUGCAGAAUAAAAAAUAUAAAUAAUUGAAGAUGAUUUUCUCUGAAGACUACUCAGUGGAAAGAAGGGGAGAUGUAGUGGUAUUACCUCUAUUUUAUAGAUGGAGAAACUAAGACCCAAAGCAAUGGAGUGGCUUUUCUAGACUACAUAGCAGUGAUGAGAGGCUCAGCGGGCCCAAGAUCUACAGUUGCCUAGAUGAAAACCUAGAAGAGCCUAAGAUGGGGUUCAGUCCAAGUCUAAAUCUGAAGACAGGAGAAGACUUCUUAGUCUCCAUAUAUGAGCCAGACCUUACAGUGGGAACUGCAGUUGCUGAAUCAGGAAACCUGCAUCAGUGGGAAUAACUGGAUCCCAGGGUGACAAGAGGCAUAUAGCAUCACUCAACCACAGAGGGCAAGAAAUCUUGACUACCUUUGCUUCCACAAGACAUCAUACUGGUCCAUUGCAUUGAUGGCAUUAUGCUGACUGGACCCACAGAGUAAGAAAUAGCACUGGAUGAAAAGCCACAUAUUCACAAUACAACUCCCAGAGGCAAACCACUGUUCUGAUAUUUCCCACCACAACAUAGAUUGGAUUUACCUGUUCCAGUCAUGUGAGUGGAAUCUCAUAAUACACACUACUAUGUGUAAGGCAUUUUUCACUCAGCAGAGUUCUGAGAUUCAUCAUAUGGAUGCAGAUGGUAGCUGUUUUUCAGCUGAAGUUCAAGAAUAAAGACACUAUGGAAAAACACCCUUCAGUAAAUCUGAGAGGCACACGCAGCAUGAAUGAGAGAUAAGCCUAUGUUGUUUAAAAUCACUAAAAUUUGAAGGGUCUUUGUUACUAGAGCAUGAUCUAGAUUAUCUUGCUUACACAUUUUACACAGUUGAUUUGAUGUGAAACAACUGUAAACUGCUCCUAGGUUUUAUAUCAGGGGUCUAUUCUACUAGCUGUCAUGAUCUUUAGAAUUUCCUCAUUCAAUCAAAAUAGCUUUAACUGAACAGCCUUUUUGAUAUUUGAGGGAGGAUAGAUGGAAUAUUGGGCCUGAAAGAAAUUUGGGAAGUAUCUGGCUAUUGGAUUGGUAAUAACUUACUAAGCAUGUAAUCAAUGACAGAAAAAAAGAGAUUGACUUAUUUUACUAUGUAAGCAUUUAAAAAGUUUUUCUCCUAUACAUAAAUAAAUGACAAGAAAAAUAUACCAGGCAAGUGUUUAUAACAUAUACAACAAAGAGUCACUAUCGUUAUUAAAGCAAAUAAGAUAAACACUGGCAGCAAGACUAAAAUAACAAUACAGAAAAGACAAAAUGUAAGUGAACAUUAAACACUGUAGGUGAAAUGUGAAUAUUAAAGUUUAGGUUAAUGAGUAAUCAUAGAAUUCCAAUGAAAACAAUGAAAUUCCAUAUUUUGUGUAUGAAAAAGGCAAGAUCUUCAAAAUGGUUAAGGUAUUGUUAGACAUCCUCACAGGCUAAUGAGGGCUCCUUUGAACAUAGCAAAUUUUGACAGUUAUAUACAGUUUAUUUUUAAAAAUCGGAUUUGUGACCUUGUAAUUUUAUUUCUAGGAGUGUAUCCUUAAGGAACAACCAUGAGCAUUAAAAAAACCCACAUUUGUGCAAAAAGAUGCUCAUCACUUAUACAUUAAUAGUUUUAAAAAGCUAAAAACAAUGUAAAAGUCCAGAAGAAUUUAAUUCCUGAGUAAUUUAUGUUGUAUCUUCUUAAGGGCUCCUGCAGUUUUUAAAUUGUGUCUACUAGAAUUUCAAGAAAAUGUGAAAAUUCUUAUAUAAUCUCUUUCAAUAAAAGAAUAAUUAACCACAAAAUAUGAAAGUCUUAAAUAUAUUUUAUCCUUGAAAUGAGGAUUAGGAAAAAAACUAGAAUUUUAUUUUUACCCUCAGUAUUAUCAAAACUUUCUCCUAACCUUGAAUUAGUUUCUUAGAAUAGAAAAUAGAAGCAAGCCCAUUAAGUCUUUUGCAAAAAGGAGGGAAGGGAAAAAAGGAAUAUUGUUAGUUUAAUGAAUAAUCAAAAUAUGUAGCUCUUUUUUAUUCUAAAUAUGAGUCACUGACAAUAGGCAAAUAGUAAAAUGCACAUGUACUAAAAAAUAUUGGAGGAAGUAUGGGGAAAAGUGCAUCCUGAAGACCAGCUAUAUUCAGACACACAUCCUUCUCCUGCAAGCUUCUGAAUCACAUAUACUGGGAAAUGUUAUUCUGAUGCUAUGGUCAUUUCCUUGAGUGAAGUUUAAUGUUCUUUCUGAAAAAUAAAUGUACUUCCUUAAAAGUAUCUGCAAACCUAAUUUAAAUGUUCCUAACAUUUUACUCUUUAUUUAAUUUCCAUGUAAUUUGAAGUGAGAAGGAAAGAUAAAAGCUUUUAAAAAAAGUAUUAACUUCAUUUUGUAUCACUCAAUUUUAACAAAUUAGUACAUAAUCCAAUGAACACAGGAUAGUUAAUAUCUUGUGUUGAUUAUACUUAAAAUAUACAUUGCAUCAAUAUAAAAAUGAACUUAAUUAGGAAAGGAAUCAAAUAAGUGUCAAGAUCACUAUUUUUGUCAAUUGUUUCCUAUCAAAAUCAAUGAAGAUUAAUUUGAAAGGAGCAUCAACGUUAUCUAAUUACACUAAAUAAGAACUGAGAUGACAAAAGGAAGCAUUUUAGUUACAGGAAAAAGUGUAGUAAUUAAACUUGCCAUUUACUUCCAGAGUUUCAUGUUUUUUUUAGAUACUUUUGCAAAAUAUGGUAUACAAUCGUACUGUACUGGUUUUAAGACUUGCAUUAAAAAUAACUGAAUAGCUAUCACAUUAAUAAAUCUUUGAGAAAAAUAAAUAAAUAAAUAAAUAUUUGAGGAAGUACCUUCUCACCAAUUAUUUUACAGUGUCACCACAUUUUUAUUUUCUUUAAUUAGAAAUGACCUUACAGGUCACAUGAUGAGAGUAAGGAACUGAGGCUAAAUUAUUUUUCAAAAGCUACAUUGCAAAUUAAAAUCCAAGCUAGGUGUGGAGUUCAGACACCGUGUAGUUUACUCAAUCAACAAAUUGACUAACAUUUUUUAAAGGAAGGAAAGCAGUGUGAUUUUCCCAGUUUGAUGAAUAAUCAUGAAUUUUUCCAGAGCUGUGCAGUGCUUCUAACACUGUAAUGUUAACAAUGUUUUUAAUCAUGUUUGUUGGUCUUUAAUAACAUUUGUUCAUCUUUAAUAAUGUUUGUUGAAUUGAGUCAAACUGAACUACUUUAAAAUCUAUGUGAGUAUCCAGAGUAAUUUCUUUUGGAUUCAUUAUGAAGGUAAUGUUCUUGAUUUCAGUAGAUAAGAAUAAAAUCUACAUUUCUGCAUGGAACUGCAGGUGUUCAGUGCCUGUAGCAUCAACAAAAUUACAUCAAUUAAUUUGAAAAAAAAUAUGCACAAAUCUAUUAGAAAAGAAAGAUUGGCCAAAAUUUAAGAAAAAAGACAAUUCCCAUAUUAAUCUUUUUGGUAAACUUUGUCCUAUUCCAUUGUAAUAUUUUAUUUACACAAAUAUGUAUAUGUCUACAAGCUAUUUCAUCAUUUGAAAGUAUCAUUUUAACAUGUAAAAAUACCAAAUUAACUUUUAAUCUGGAUGUUAAUGAUACUCAUUUUGUUAAUGAAAAGCAAGAUCUAAUUCACUACUGUGAGUGAUAUUUGUUGAUUGGAUUAAGCUAUCAUCUUUCCAUGAAUAACUGAAGCCAAUAUACAUAAAACCACAUGCUGUGUCUACAUAUAUAUUGACUAAAGUGAGUAAUGAAAAUGAAGUAUUUUCAGAAGCAUGCAAAUAUUCUAGAGUAUUUGUAUAAUAUUUAUUAUCUGGAUAACAUCAGAAUCAAGUCUCUCUUCCACUAAGAAUGUACAGAUAGGCAGUUUACAUGAUUAUUAAACAUAGGAACACUAAGAAAAAACAUCAUUGUAUCAGAGUCCUGGUUUUGCUAUUACUGACUCUGUGAUGUUUCCAAGUCAAUUAAUUUUUCAAAGUCUCCAUCUCCUCAUCUAUAAAAUGGGAAUUAUAAUAGUACUUAAAUUAUGGAGUUGUUGUAAAGAUCCAAUGAAAUAGUGUAUUUAAAUACUUAGCAAUAUUUCUGGCAUAAGAUAAAUUCUCAAUUCUCAAUAUAUUUUAUCAGUUAUAUUUCAAAAGUGACAUUCACAAAAUCACUUUAUACCAGAAGAAUGAUAACAGUUUAAAAAUCUUAUUGGCUAAAAAAGAAAAAAAAGUGACUUAUCAUCUAUAAGGUGGAAAGAACAAUGGGGAAAAGAAGCCAAUCCCAUACUUUAUGAGUGGCCAUAUAAAGUAAGUCAAAUGUUACAGUGCACUUGGCUUAAGCUAUUUAUUCACGUUUUCUUCAGCCUUUACCUUCCCACAAAAAAAUAUUAGUCUAAAAUGUAUCUAUACUUAAAGUUAAUUUUUCUGUAAUUUUCAAUCAUCUCCCUGAAAGUUUCUCUCCUAUAUCACCUAUCCUAUUCUCAGGCACCAUGAUAUUGCCCCAUGAAAUUUAACUGAGUUUGUAUCUAAUAAUCUCCCUGAUACCAGACUAACACCUAAGCUCCCAAACAAAAGCAGUUGUUUACAGAAGAAGAGGAAAAGAAUGCUAUGAAUGAUAUUUUAAAAUUAACGAACUCAAAUGUGAGUAUCUAAAAAUGCAUCAUUUUUUAAGUUUUUAACGUUUACCUGUCCCACCUUUUGGGAAUGAGAAUGUGUUUGUGAUUCUGGGUUGGAAUGGGUGCCAGAAUUUCCAAAAGAAGUCUGAGUUUGAGGGAUGUGUGCUAGCAAUUCGAGCAAAUCUGUGUUUAAGGAUGUGAGACGGACCAUCAUCCAGUGCCUAGCCUGCAGCACGUACCAAGUCAGCACUUUACUGGCUUCCUGAGUCUUCACCCAGACAUAGGCGGCAAGAUCAAAUGAGUAGAAUUUGCUAUAGCUAUUUCAGCCAGAAUGUGGCAGCUCUCUUCAUUAAAAAAAAAAUCCUGUUUCCAUAGUUUCAAAAUAGCCAUAAUUUAUAAAGAAUGAAAAUUAAGUAUUUUCUGUUUAACAAUUAUAAUCUUCUAGAUUUUAUCCAUGACCUAAUGUAAAAAUAAUUUAUUGUGGGUAUAUAGGAUAUUUAUCUAAAAUAUGUUUAUAGUUACUAAAAUUUAGAGGGCAGAAAAAGGGUAAAGCAUGGUCUGUGUGGAAAUUUUUCUAUGAUCUAUAGUUAUGUUCACCUCCAUCAUUAAGGAAAAGCAAUCCACUAGUGAGUAUUUGGCUUAACGUAUACAAUUAACCAGAGAUAAAUUUAUGCUGCUAAGCAGUGCUGGCCAGGAAAAAAAAAUAAGUUUUGGUUUGUAUUAUUAUAUACCUCUAAUUACUAAAGGAGAUUAUGCAUAUUAAUCAGUUUCCCCAAAUGGAUUUUAGGAAGAAAAGAAACUCCAAGAAGUUAAGUCACUAAGCUUAAUGUACCG
Long non-coding RNA from Canis lupus familiaris (dog), 7428 nucleotides. RefSeq lists it as uncharacterized. Lineage: Eukaryota; Metazoa; Chordata; Mammalia; Carnivora; Canidae. The record is from RefSeq and is a predicted model, not a curated record. The transcript is spliced from 8 exons.